This 441-nucleotide ribosomal RNA is filed under the name uncultured bacterium. Its description in RNAcentral is "partial 16S ribosomal RNA". It matches the Rfam family "Bacterial small subunit ribosomal RNA", at positions 338 to 795 of the family's 1533-position model. The record is from RNAcentral.
UCUACGGGAGGCAGCAGUCGGGAAUAUUGCGCAAUGGAGGAAACUCUGACGCAGUGACGCCGCGUGCAGGAAGAAGGUUUUCGGAUUGUAAACUGCUUUAGACAGGGAAGAAACAAGACAGUACCUGUAAAAUAAGCUCCGGCUAACUACGUGCCAGCAGCCGCGGUAAUACGUAGGGGGCAAGCGUUAUCCGGAAUCACUGGGUGUAAAGGGAGCGUAGACGGCUGAGCAAGCCUGAAGUGAAAGGCGGGGGCCCAACCCCCGGACUGCUUUGGGAACUGUACGGCUGGAGUGCAGGAGAGGUAAGUGGAAUUCCUAGUGUAGCGGUGAAAUGCGUAGAUAUUAGGAGGAACACCAGUGGCGAAGGCGGCUUACUGGACUGUAACUGACGUUGAGGCUCGAAAGCGUGGGGAGCAAACAGGAUUAGAUACCCGAGUAGUC